Molecule: RNA transcript, 1189 nt
Organism: Pongo pygmaeus (Bornean orangutan)
Lineage: Eukaryota; Metazoa; Chordata; Mammalia; Primates; Hominidae
Gene name: proline-rich protein 34-like
Exons: 2
Source: RefSeq, a predicted model, not a curated record
GGAGGCGGAGGAGGGAGGGUGGGGCGCAGGACCGCUGGGUCGCGCGUUGCCGCCGCCACACCCUGGGAAGGGGCUAGUCUCCGGGCAGCCGGGGGUCCGCUUUCCCAAUGAGAAGGGUGCAGAUAAGCGCCAGCCCUCCGGCCCGCGCGUCUGCAGCGCUCCCGCUCCCCCUCGGCGCUCUCGCCCCGCCGCCGCCGCCGGCCCAGCAACUUUGUUCCGGAAGAUCAGCCCCACUACGUUCCCGGGUCAGCGUCUGCCGGGCCUCGGCGGUCACCGCGGCCACCGCGACGGGAACUUGGCGCCCCAAGUCACCUGACCGCGCGCCCCGUCAAUCAGCGCCUGCCCUGCGCGCCCUCCCAGCCCGCAGCAGCCGGGCUCCGCGCUUGGCUGGCCUGGGGCGCGCGCUCCAGGGUGAACCGUGCGUGCCGGGAGCCGGGAGUCCGGAGACCGAAGCCCGAAUGGAUGCCUCGAGCAGACACAAUUCCCCUUAUUCAGAUUAUCCGAAAAUGUGAGUUACGUCCCCCUAGGCAAAACAGGUCUCUAGUUAGGGUGAUUUUUUUUUAAGAGAUAAAUUCCAAUCUGCCUUCCAACUCACCCCAUCUCAGUUUGCUGACGUUGCUGAUUUUUUUUUUACCUCUAGUUCCAACCGUACAUUUAUUUUACAUUAUUUCUCUAGUGUCGUUAACAUUAAAAAAGAAGUUUUCUCUUAACAUUAGUUUGUAUUACAAGUAGUGUUUGUGCUGACCUUAUUUUUCUGUUUUCCAAUAUGCACACACAAACGCACAUCUGUUAUAGAGCCUGUUCCAAGCUGGAGAGGUUGACCAAAAAAUAUCUGGGAAGAAAUGAGCUCGUGAUGUGUGUGCAUUUUUCUUAUUUACACAUUUCAUUGUUCGUGUGUUCCUGUGAUUCUUUUACACGAUCAGCACACGUGGGAGGGGAAAGAAAACAGCAACCUGAGUUCCUAGUUCGUAUUAACAGAGAAAAGGAUGGUUGAUACUGGAGCGCCGGCUUAUUGCUGGCUUAAUAUUUGAGUUAAUUUACGCGGCAGUAAAGAUUAAACCACUAGGGGCCUUAAACGAAUUUUCAGAGUUUACUCGCCUUUUGUUAUAGUGAAAGGUUCCCACAUCCAUCCUUAACUUCCCUCCUUUUGAUGAUUUUCUACGUAUAAGCCAAAUAAAAUCUAAAGGAU